This 76-nucleotide transfer RNA is filed under the name Gemmobacter sp. Its description in RNAcentral is "tRNA-Lys". It matches the Rfam family "tRNA". From Rfam's summary of the family: Transfer RNA (tRNA) molecules are approximately 80 nucleotides in length. Their secondary structure includes four short double-helical elements and three loops (D, anti-codon, and T loops). Further hydrogen bonds mediate the characteristic L-shaped molecular structure. tRNAs have two regions of fundamental functional importance: the anti-codon, which is responsible for specific mRNA codon recognition, and the 3' end, to which the tRNAs corresponding amino acid is attached (by aminoacyl-tRNA synthetases). tRNAs cope with the degeneracy of the genetic code in two manners: having more than one tRNA (with a specific anti-codon) for a particular amino acid; and 'wobble' base-pairing, i.e. permitting non-standard base-pairing at the 3rd anti-codon position. The record is from RNAcentral. RNAcentral also lists the same sequence under 1 other name. Lineage: Bacteria; Pseudomonadati; Pseudomonadota; Alphaproteobacteria; Rhodobacterales; Paracoccaceae.
GGGCCGGUAGCUCAGUUGGUAGAGCAGCUGACUCUUAAUCAGCGGGUCACAGGUUCGAAUCCUGUCCGGCUCACCA